This 8598-nucleotide long non-coding RNA is filed under the name Canis lupus familiaris (dog). Its description in RNAcentral is "lncRNA (ENSCAFG00845012458.1)". The record is from RNAcentral. Lineage: Eukaryota; Metazoa; Chordata; Mammalia; Carnivora; Canidae.
UCUUUCUUUUUUCUUUCUUUCUUUCUUAUAAAUAAAUAAAUAAAAUGUGUUUUAAAAAUACCCUGUUCCUAGACACAUCAUAACUAGCCUCAGAGACCACCAAAGAUCAAGAGAAGAUUUUAAAAGCAGCCAAGGUAAAAUAGCAAAUUACACACACAGUAUAGCAAUGAAGCAGACAGUUGACUUUCCAUUAAUAAAUAGAAUCCAGAAAAAAAUGGAAUAAAGUCUUAAAUGGUGUCAGAAAAAUUACUGACAAUCUAGAUUCACAGUCCAGGGAUAUUAAUUUUCUAGAAUGAGAACAAAAUACAAAUACUUUCAGUCAAAAAAAAAAAAGAAAAUAAAUAGCAUCCACUAAAGGAAAAUUUAAAGAACAUUCUUCAAGCAGAGAGAGAAGAUGGAAGUUCUGAUAAGAAGGAAUGGUGAAAAGUAAGCGAUUAGUAUGUGAGUAAAUCUGACAUAAUAUUAGUUUAUAAUACAAUAAUAAUAAUUCCAACUUUAGAAUAAUAGAGCAGAAAUAUGUUCAACACUAACACAAAAAUAUGAAUGGCUCACGAGAAUUAAAAUAUUCUAAUAUACUUGUAUGUUGGGAGGGAGUUAAAGAUACUAACAUGCCUGUGUGUGUGCAUGCAUGUGUGUAUGCACACUCUGGAAGAUAUCUUAGUUAUAUUAGUGUAUUUUAAUUUUGUUCUAUGAUCUGGUUUUUCUUCUAGCAUCAAUAUAUUUUCAAGUUUAAAUCAAAACAUCACGUUAAUGCUUUGAUAAAUUCAGAAAUUUCCAAUAAUCACUCUCUAGACUUUGCAGUGAAAGUAGCAGUACUGAAAAAAACAGAAAUUGCUUACAUAAAAUUAAUGAACAAAUAUCUUCAAUUUGGGCAUGACUAGCUACCCCAAAACAAUUUGAUUUUAUGAAAUACCUUUGAUAAUAUAUAAACAAUUUGUAUUUCCUCUGAAUUCUACUGUGAAUGACAGAUAGCCAAUCUCACCUUAAGAAAGAAGCUGUCAUAAUCUGUCCUGUACAGAAAAUGCUGAUACACUGGAAAAAAGAAAGUCCUGUAUUACUAAUACAAUCUUCUAGUUUAUUAUUAUUAAAAGUAAAAUAAAAAAUAUUCUAGACAAUUUGUUAUUUCCCAUGCAGUUGCAUUAUGUUCAUAGUCAAAUGUUUGAAGCAUGUAUUAUAUAAUAUAAAGGUAUAUAUAUAUAUAUAUAUAUAUAUAUACACAUAUAUAUAUAUAUAUAUACACACACAUAUAUAUAUAUAUAUGUCUUUUAACAUUACCAUUGAUUUUUUUGUGGCAGUAAAUAAUUUAGGUAUAUUUUAUAGUAUUCCAUUUCAGCACAGGAUUAUUUGCCUUUUGGAAGUAACUUCAGUCCAUAUUACUUAGCUUUGCUUCACCUAUGAAUGCAUAGACUAGUUUGUUACAAAGGUCUAUUUCUAAUUUUUCCAUCAUAUAUAAAGGUUGACAACAUUCAAAAGAUUCUGUCUGCUACUAAAUUAUAAACUCACUGGCUGGACCACAGUUUGCUACUGCAAGUUGGCCACACCAUAUAACAAAGAUAUUCAAAAGAAAACUGCAGCUAUAAGAAAAUGAGUACAUGGAGAAAAAUCUUUAAAGAUAAUAGUCUUUAAAGUCAUGUGGGUAUUCUUUGAGCAAAGAUAGUUUGAGGAACAAAUAUGUUGUUAUUUUGCAUUACUUUUCUUGCCUAUACUUAAUAGUACUAUUUAUAUAUAUAUUUUAAAAAAUCAGUGUAUCUCUGGGUUAUUUAGUUACUUCCAAGGAGACAAUAAUGUUUUUUUCUGGAGUUUGAAAAUUCAUAUGCUCUUAAACCACAAAUUCCUCUGUCUCCCCUGAUAUCUCCAUCAGUUUUUUCAUAUCUACUUUGAUGUACUGUGCUCAACUGCUGUGGCCAACCAUACCCUCAGCCUCACUAGGAUUUCUGUAUUUUUCCUCUAUUUUUAAUUCUAUAGCUUCCCCAUAAUGGGAAGGAUAGCUACAAUUGGAGACUGAUCUUUUAAAAUGGUAGUAGUCUUUUUGGGAUUCUUAUUUCAAAUAAACUCAUUUCUCAGUGGAAAUAUUACCUCUCAAUCAUUAGGGUUGGACAUAAAGGAGGUAGUAUUUAAAAAGAUCUCACUAUAGAUUCCAAAAAAUUUGGUCUGCAGAAGUCUAUAACAACAGUAAGUCAAAUUAUAGCAAGCAUUUGGUAUUUGGCCACAGCAAGGCAUUUAGUCUAUGAACUUUAUGUUUUUAAACUUGUGGAUGGAACACAUUGAUGAAGGGAGUCAAGACAGUAGAGGUGGUAAUCAGAUGAUAAAGAAAUCAAGAAAGAGCUGUAUUGGUUUUAGGAUUUUAUAACAUCCUUCAAGACCCAGAUGUCUUAUAAUGUCUUGUAAUGGCCUUUGCCUUCUGACUGUCCAUUUACUAGUGAUAUGACCUUAUAUUUCAAGAUAGGUUUUUAACAGAUCUGAUUUUUUAUCACAAUAAGUUGAUGAAUUUUCUGAAAGGUUAAUUAACACUGGAAGCUGUUGACUUAUCCUUGUAUGCCUAUCACCAACUGGAAACACACAUAUACUGAAAGCACUGGGCUCAUUAGUGGUUUAUUAGGAUUAUAUUUGGCUGAUUAUUGCUCAUAUAUACUGAGGAAAAUUAUCACAGAGGUGUACCUGAGAAGAGAUAUACAUGAAAUAAGAUAUUCAAUUAAGUGAAAAGUAAUUAAACAAAGAUAACUUUCUCUGUAUUGUCAUCUAUUUUCUUUUUAUAAAUAUUAUUUUGGCAAAAUUUAUUUUAUUUGAUAUUUCACAUAAGAGGGCACUUUCAGUGUAAUUUAAAUUAUAUAUGAUUUAGUUGUGUUUACUUUCAUUUUGGGAUGAUUAUCUUCUUUCUGAGGCACUAUUAUGUACAAUAUACUUUAUAUUUAUAUACUUCUGUUCUUUAUUGUGAUUAAAUAUUUUGAAUGACAUUACAAAUCAUUAUGUUAGCACAGAAAUUUAAAGAAUUAAAAAAACAAUUGAUGGAAUCAUUUUAUUUUCAACAACUUCCAAUAUUCAAGCUUCAAAUAUUCAGAUAUUACAGAUAUUUAAAUAUAUAUAUCAUACAUUUAUAAAUAUAUAACAUAAUUAUUUAGGUUGUCAUAAUAAUAAAUUUCUAUUAUGCUUAAAUUUUAUAAAUGCAAAAAAGUGUUUGUUUAUACUUUGUGUAAAGUGAAAACAUAUGUUGGAAAAAUCUCAAGGUAAUGCUAAUUGACCAAGCAGUCUACAAAGAGAUAGCAACCCUAGAAACAAUUACAAAUUUGUAAUGGUAAUGGAAGGAUUUUCAGAAUAACCAAAUCUCAGGAUGAAAAAUAUCUGUACAUUGACUUUCUGAAAAACACAGUCCUUUGUUAAUGAUAUCUCUGUGAAUACACAUUCAACACAUCCCUAACUUUUGGAUAAAUAAAUUUCUUCAGUCACAUGAAUGUCAGGCAUUACUAUAUUUUAUGUUAAAUAAUAAUAAUAAUUGUGUACUUUUGGUAUUAUUCCCAAGCAAUUUUCUUCAUAGGCAGAGAAGCAGCUUUAAGAAUCAAAUCAAACCACACUACAUCAUUCAGUGAAAUUUACAGCAGAUAAGUAACACAGAAACAUGAGAGAAAAUGAAAGACAGAAAAAUUACUUUUCUCAAAAAAAAUCUAUGCUCAUCUGAAUCUUAAAUCAUGUAUUCUUUUCCCUUUGUAUCAUUCUUGAUAGGGUUCUUAGAGAAAAAAAAUGGGUUAAAGUGACUGAGCUUCACUGUCAAGAGAAACCUAUGGUCAGGGAUAUAUCGAAUUCCCAAAGCUUUCAUUAUUAAUAUUUUAUGAGUCUCACUGAUCUGUCCUAUCUAGAAGAAAAAUUUAUCUUUCAUUUGUGCAAGAACUGCCUGCCGAGUAAUAGAUUUCGUGUCCAUAAGCCGGGUGGCAAAAUGCAAACAGCAGCAAAGGUAGGAGGAAGCAAAGUGUUCACUUUAUUUCUUUUACUCGAGUCUGGCUGCACUUUACUGGAGUUGCAGAGUCAGCCAAGCAAAAUGAAAGAUCUUUGGGGAACUCUGAAAGACUGUCAGCUCUGGGCCAACAUACUUUGGCCGGCACACGUGAAUGCCCAUAUGUUUAAGCUGACUUCUAAAGGUGAUGAUUUGCUACGGUGACUUUUUUUGUUGUUAAUGUAACUUAAACGUUUACAAGAAAGUUUGGUGCCUACAACGUUGGCAACUCAUUUACUCAAUAGUGAAAACUGUCUUCCUUACUGAUGAGAUGACUAAACGCAAAUUGAUGAUCCUCGAACACUUUGGACUGAAAAGGCAAGAGUUUUUGCCUCUUGGUAGGGUGUGGCUUGCCUCAGCUGAGCUAAGAUGCCAUGUAGGCUCAUCUAUGACACCGGAGCUGAGUAUUUCCUGGACAGUAUUCAUCUACAGAAAAGUAAAACAGAGAAGGGAGGUCCAGGACACUCUGUCACAACACAUUGGGUGUCUGCCUGUUAGGUCCCCUGAGACCACAGAUCCGUCUGGAUUCAUAGGAAGUUGGAGGAUGAUUCCUCCAUGUGGUAGAAAAAAUAAUUUCUGGAGAAGUGUAUUUAGUGUAAAGUCAGGAAAACAAACAAACAGACAACGAGAAAAAUAAUCUCCUGAUUUGGGGGAGGUUGGUGGGGGAUGGGGUAACUGAGUGAUGGGCAAUGAGGAGAGCACUUAAUGGGAUGAGCACUGGCUGUUAUACCAUGUGUUGGCAAAUUGAAUUUAAAUUUAAAAAAAUGUAAAAAAAAAAGAAAAGUAAUAAAAUAUACAUUGUAUACCAAAAAACCCUCCUGAUUUUGAAUGUUUUCCUUUGCUUGAAAAUAAAGAUUUCAAAACUACAUGAAAGAACUGAGAUUCUUUUCUUCAGAGCUCUUACCUCAAUUUCUAAUUACAUAUUAACUAGUAGGAUUAUUUAACAUCUUUCAGAUCUCUUAGAAUAAAAAUUAAACCCUGUUCAUUUUGGUGCACAAUGGUAUUCCCAGUGUCUUGUACACUGUUGGCAGGCAAUAGGUGUUCAGUAAGUUUUUCUAAAAGAUUUGCAUAUUUUUCAUUUUCAUCAGUGCCUACUAGCAUGUUUUACAUAAUAAUCCUUAAUGAUGUUUUCAGUGAGAGUAAUGAUUUAUUCAAACUGCAGCCACAGAUUAUAAAUUCACAUAAAGCACUAUGUUAGAAAUAAGUUGAUACUAAUUAGUCUAAGAUUAAUUUCUGGGGCUCAAAGAGUUGACCAUCUAGUUGAGGGAUAAAGUAUAUGUGCAAGAAUUAUAUAAAAUGUGAAUUAUUAGUGACAAAAGAACAUAUUAGCUGUAAUUGUUUUUUUGUCUUUUUAAUUUAAAAUUUUUUUAUUAGCUGUAAUUGUAAAUAGGUAUCAGACACACAGAAAUGAAGGCACGUUCCUGAUAAAGAGAACUCUAUGAGUAAAUACUUUGGAAUCAAAAGGAUAUAAACCACAAAUCAUAAAAGGUGUGGUUUAGGGUGAUACAGCUUAGCAUGACCAAUAAGAAAACACCACUCUGGUCUAUAAGAGCCAUCUAAACCUCCUUCUCUCAUUGGUUUGUUUAGUUUUUAUAGUAGGAGCAAACAUGAUUCCCAUGAACUGAAAGGAUCCGUAAUUCAACACUCAUACUAAUAUGAUAUUACCAGAACUGUGUGAGAAUGUUUCUUUUCUCAAACUCCAGCUGGUAUCUUGUUUUUAUCUGAUCUCCUCUUGUGAUUUAAUCAUCUUUUGAUAUCUUUAUUCUCUCUUCUUUAUAUUUCAAUUCUCUUCUUAUUCUCAUUUUCCCUAAUUUGUUUGCCUAACUCCUUGGCAUCCUCCCCCAAACUCUAUAAAUGGGAGUGGAAUAAUUAGUUAUUUUUGGAGAAAAGUAGUCAUUUGUAGAUACUCCCUAGCUGAGUAAAAUUGUUGCUUGUUGUUACCCAUCAGUGCAUUUACUAUACCAAUAGUUUCAACAAAUGAUUUUUUUCCCAUUAAAAUUAUUUCAAGCACAUUUCUGAAUAAUUUUAACUAAUUCAGUACUUGUUUAAACCUUUGUUUUCCCAAUAACUCAUAAGUCCUAUUAAGCUAUACCCAUCUUAGUUAAAUUUGAUGUCAGUUUGUUUUAAAAAAAGUAUUAUUUUAACAAAAACAAUGCACUAUGCAGUAUGUGAAAUGAAUAAUCUAUUUUAAACAGUAAUAUAACAACUACAUGUUAAAUAAGCAAAUACAGCACCCUUAUGGGGAAGAUUUUCUGGACUUCCUUGACUUUAAAAUCAAGUAGAUUUCUUUAAAGCUAAUAUCAAACUAAUUAAAUUUAUUACAUUUUAUAUGUAUAAAAGAUUGUUCUUUAUAUUCCCUAGACCUUGAAAAUUCUCUGAACUUGGUGAUUCCAUAAUAAUAUAUUUCUGAAACUAUGUAAAAUCUCUCACUAAUUGUUUAUGUUCAUAUCCAUGAAGGUUAUUUGGUGUCUUUGUGUAGAUAUAACUCACCAGUAAUUCCCCUCUUCUUUUUCUAUUCAAAACAUCAAUCAUUUGGAUUUAGUUUUUAAACCUAUUCACUUUUUUCCUCAUAAUUUCUAUUACUAUAAUUUCUAUUAAUCAUGGCUUUUUAUUUUUAAGGGUCAUAUUUUAUUAAAAAAACAAAUAGUGGUUUUUGUUGUUCAUUUGCUUGUUGAUUCCCACCCCCCCCUUUUUUAGAAUCAUUUCACAAUAGUUACACCUUAUUCAAAGACCAGGGGAACUUUUUAAAAGCUAAAUUGAAGUUUUAAAACUAGGGACUUGACUAGGUAUAGUCCUCUAAUGACUCUUUUUGUCUAUGAGCCUCAAAGUAUUUAAAAUUUGUGUUUUAAAAAAAAUAAACCAAAACCACAACAACAACAACAAAAAGUUACUAGAUGAUGUAGACUUUCAUAGUCUUUCAGUUACUACUGAAAAAUGCGGAAUGUUAAAUUCACAAAUUCCAAAGAGGAACCAUAUGGUCAAGCCCAGGAGAAGGGUAGGGAGUUCAUUGGGGAAUCUAGGGUGGAGAGAGGGGAAGUAACAUCUAAAAUCUCUCUUUUUGACACAAUGGCAUAUAACAAUGACCUUGAGGAAAGGUCAUAAAUUAAGGGAAGGCAUUUCCUGCAUUUUCUCAUCAUAACUUUGGGAGUCUUUUCUACUCCGAGUAUCCAGGCUCCAAGUAAUGUUCUACUUCUCACAGUAGCUACCCUUUGACUUUUCAGUCUAUCCCUAUUUAAAUGCUGUCUAUUGACCCUUCCGACCAAUUAGAUAAGUGAAUGUGGUAACCUAUUGCCAAAAUAAUGUCUGAAAAUGCAAAUGGGGUCAGGUCACUCUCGACUCUGAUCCUUUUAUUAGUUCCUCAUUGUCUAUUUGGUAAAUAAAUUUCCUAGCCAUAUGUUUUAUUCCCACAAGAAUUCUAUGCCUCAACCAAACUGAUUUAUCUGCCAUUUUCAAACACAUUUCAUGUGAGCUUUCAUGCUUCAGCGCUUUUGAACAUAUAUUCCAUUUUCCUAGAUAAAACUCUGAUCAAGUGUCACUGUGUUAGAGUGUCUGUAAGUCCUGCAGUGAUGUUGGUUACUCUCUUCUUGAGACUACGAUGAAAGGAGUUUGCCUCUUUCUGCAGACUUUCUGGGCAUGUCUAUAUUUCUGGGCAUCCUAAUGCUGUGAAGUCAAGGGCAGAAAUCAUAUGUCAUUUUUAUGUUUGGAAAUUCAUAGAUAUUCAAUAAUUACUAAGUGACAAAUGUAAUGAAUUAAUAUGGCAUUUUCUCACUAAUUGGAGUUUUUUAAAAAAAAACUUUUUAAUACAAUAGAUUUCCCCAGAAGACAGAAUUUUGAAUUCUGCGCACUGCUACUUAAGGAAGUAUUUUUGAUUUGGUGGGUCUUUCUGGACCUUUUAAAUAAUGCAUUGCUAUAGAUUUACUUAAAUGUAAGGACUUUUGAAAUCUAGAUUUUAACCUACAUUGCCUCACUUCUUUGCUUAGUCGUUAACUAAAACUUUGCUUAGAUGUUUUUAUAAGACAGAAGAGGCUCUAAGUAAAAAUAUACAUUUAAUUAACAGUGAGUAUUUUUAUAUCUAUAUAUUUUAGCUAUUAUUAGGAUUUGGGGAUCUAAAUUAUCCCCAAAUUGUAAUAUUCCCUCAUAAUAACUGAUACAUAAAUGCUAUAAUAAAUCUGCUAGAGAAAUAAUGUAAUCAACCCUAAAAACCUCAUCAGAGAGAUGAUAGCUCUCUCUUUCUGACCAUUCCUUCUAGUAGUUUGUGUAAAUAGUAUAAAUCCCUCCAAAAUCCAUAAAAUAUUUUGUUUCAUGCCAAAUAUAAUGUUCAAACUCUUCUUAUAACCUCUUUCAGUGAGAAAAAUAAACUUGGUGGUCUACCCAUAAUGAGAAAUAUUUUCCCUAGUAGUUUGCAUAAUAUUCAAUAAGGCUUACAUCUUAAUUAUACUUUAAAUUUUAUAGUGUCUUUUUUUAAACAGAUAUUGCCUGUAUUUAUUUAUUUAUUUAUUUAUUUAUUUAUUUAUUUAUUUUUAAAGAUUUUAUUUCUUUUCUUUUUAAGAUUUUAUUUUCUUUAUGUAUGAGAGACAGAGGGAGAGGCAGAGACAUAGGCAGAGGGAAGAGGC